Molecule: ribosomal RNA, 319 nt
Filed under: Proasellus walteri
Lineage: Eukaryota; Metazoa; Arthropoda; Malacostraca; Isopoda; Asellidae
Description: partial 16S ribosomal RNA
Rfam family: Bacterial large subunit ribosomal RNA
Source: RNAcentral
GUAUCUUGACUGUGCAAAGGUAGCAUAAUCACUUGCUUCUUAAUUAGGAGCUGGAAUGAAAGAGGCGACGAAAUCUAGACUAUUUAAGUUUUAAUAUAAAUUGACAGGCGGGUCAAAAGGCCCGCAUACGCCAGGGGGACGAUAAGACCCUAUAAAACUUUACUUUCGGGCCGACGCCCUGCGGGAGGGAGAGUGUCUGAGAGUUUGACUGGGGCGGUUAUUAUAGAAACAAUUAUAGAUAAAAUAUAUUAUAUAGACGGGUAGAACUCUCUAGAGAAAUAGAACAAGUUACUUUAGGGAUAACAGCGCGAUCCCCUCA